This 475-nucleotide long non-coding RNA is filed under the name Aotus nancymaae (Ma's night monkey). RNAcentral describes it as "lncRNA (ENSANAG00000038980.1)". Lineage: Eukaryota; Metazoa; Chordata; Mammalia; Primates; Aotidae. The record is from RNAcentral.
ACUGCGCAUAGGAGCGGGUUGGUUUAAAACGCCGUAUUAGUUCCAUGGAAAGUCGCCAGCCUGCCGCAGUAUGGAGCCUCAGGCGCACAGAUGGACUGUGGGAGGCCAGUUGGAAACUCCAAGCUGUUUAGAAGACCUGGAGAGCCAGAAAGUCAUCAGUCCUAUCCAAAAUGAAGUAAUUUGUGCAGGAAAAACUGACAUUUUAUGGAAGAACUGUGAGUUUCUAGUAAAUCGAAUGUGCCGUCUUGAAAGCCUCAUUCAGUCCUUGAAGACGAACAUCUUUCGCCUGCAAACUGAAAAGGAUUUGAAUCCUCAGAAAACAGGUAUAGAGAUAAGAAUCAUCAGAAAUUUGGUCCUGUGUAGGUGCUUGAUUUCCUUUACUGACUUUCUAUUGCUCGAUGCCCUCCUGUGCUGUCUGGUAACUUUUCUGAAAGAUCGACUGAAUACAAUACAGGACGAUAUUCUAAGGACCUGA